This is a long non-coding RNA of Pleuronectes platessa (European plaice), 1510 nucleotides long. RefSeq lists it as uncharacterized. NCBI's taxonomy places the organism in Eukaryota, Metazoa, Chordata, Actinopteri, Pleuronectiformes, Pleuronectidae. The record is from RefSeq and is a predicted model, not a curated record. The transcript has 3 exons.
GCUUCAACCAGUUACAAGUGAACGCCUCAUGAAAUGGCUUACACCCACAUACCCGGUAAAUUACACACUUUGAUGUUCUGCUCCUUCUCCUGACGGUCACGGUAACGAUGUCUGCGCCUCCGUUUCUGUGGAUGUCCAGCGUGAGACACAACUUGAAUCCAACCAGACUGAACACUGACUCCAGGGACGGACGAGCCUGAAGGACACAGCUGUGAUGACCAAUUGACCAUGUUUUGUCUCUUAUGGCAAAGCAGAAAUAUUAAACACUGGGUUCUUAUCUAAAGUGUAUCAAAUCAGAAAGCAAAAGAUACACAUUGUUGUUAUAAGUUUUUAUUAUUUUAACCAACCAUAAUGAAGAUAGAAAUGAAUUCUUAUCCAUGCCACUUAGCAAUGACUGCCACCACCAAACAGUUGCAGGCCAUCUUUAUUUAAGGGAGGAAUUUAGAAGUGUUGUGUAGCUUCUGAUGAUGAUGCAGUCGUCCACGUGUUGACCACCAUGUUGCUGCUGACGACGUCAGGUGCUGCAGUUCCUCAUCUAUAAAGAGAAGAAACGCACUGUUAAAGAAUGUUUUGAGUUGUGUAUGAAGCACAACAGAUUUCAGAUAGAACCGUUGUACUGUGGUCUGGGUUUGUAUCCUAAUGGUUAAAUGCACAUAUUUUAAGUCGCUUUUGAUAAAAGUACUGAAAGAAAUACAACAUUGUAAAAAUAGAUAAAAUGUCUUUCUACCUCAUCUGUAAUAUUCAAGGUGAUAAUCUCCCACAGAGCUAUUGAUAACAGUCCACAUCAAGUCUCUCCACUUCCCUCAGUGUGAAAACAUAAUUAUAUAAUUAAUUUGAGAACUGUUUACAACACUGAUGUGUGGAGAUUUAAAUCAUAUCUAAACUGUCUAAUUCACUGUAAAACUCCAUGACAUUCGCAGGCCAUCUGUAGUUAAGGGAGCAACGUAUGGAGUGAUGUGUAGAGGGCAGAAACUUGGACUAUGGGCAGAGAAGGUCUCUGGUUCGUCUCCGGUUCGACUCCACGGAGAGACAACAAAAGACAAACCUGGAUUGAUCUGUCCAAAAAUCCAAGAGUCUCCCUACCCUCUCUAGUGCCCCUGAGCAAGGCACCUCACUCCCCCAACAUCUGCUCCGUGAGCGCCGUACAUGGUCGCUCACUGCUCUGUGUGUCCUGCACCAGAUGGGUAAAAAGCAGAGAUUAAAUUUCCCUACCUGCAUGAGUGUGCCUUUGCAUGUCUGUGCAUUUGUUUGGGACGAAUAAAUGGAUCUUAAUCUUAAUCUUUUAAUCUUAAUCAGUUGUCUUCCAGUUGACCAGCAUGAAGCUGCAAAUCUCCACCAUGUUGCUGCUGAGGACAUCAGGAGCUGCAUUAAUGAGGAGCAGAAGCGCACUGUUAUGAAUGUUUUGUGUUGUGUAUGAAGCACCACAUAUUUCAGAUAGAACCGAUGUACUGGGGUCUGGGUUUGUAUACUAAUGGUUAAAUGCACAUACUUUAAAUCGCUUUUGAUAAAA